GUAUUUUGACCGUGCAAAGGUAGCGCAAUCACUUGUCUUUUAAAUGAAGACCUGUAUGAAUGGUGAAACGAGGGCUUAACUGUCUCCCCCUUCUAGUCAAUGAAAUUGAUCUACCCGUGCAGAAGCGGGUAUAACAAUACAAGACGAGAAGACCCUUUGGAGCUUAAGAUAAAAAACCAACUAUGUCAAAAGUCCUAAAAAAGACUAAACCAAAUAGUACUGGUCCUAAUCUUCGGUUGGGGCGACUACGGGAGAAAACAAAGCUCCCAUGCGGAUUGGGGUAAUUCCCUAAAACUAAGAGAGACAUCUCUAAGACGCAGAACAUCUGACCAUAAAGAUCCGGCUACAUGCCGACCAACGGACCAAGUUACCCUAGGGAUAACAGCGCAAUCCCCUUCCAGAGUCCAUAUCGACAAGGGGGUUUACGACCUCGAUGUUGGAUCAGGACAUCCU
This 453-nucleotide ribosomal RNA is filed under the name Hypostomus affinis. Its description in RNAcentral is "partial 16S ribosomal RNA". It matches the Rfam family "Bacterial large subunit ribosomal RNA", at positions 1936 to 2548 of the family's 2925-position model. Lineage: Eukaryota; Metazoa; Chordata; Actinopteri; Siluriformes; Loricariidae. The record is from RNAcentral.